AGAGUUUGAUCAUGGCUCAGGAUGAACGCUAGCUACAGGCUUAACACAUGCAAGUCGAGGGGCAGCAUGUUGGUUGCUUGCAACCAACGAUGGCGACCGGCGCACGGGUGAGUAACGCGUAUCCAACCUACCCUUGUCCAUCGGAUAACCCGUCGAAAGGCGGCCUAACACGAUAUGCGGUUCACAGCAGGCAUCUAACGUGAACGAAAUGUGAAGGAGAAGGAUGGGGAUGCGUCUGAUUAGCUUGGUUGGCGGGGUAACGGCCCACCAAGGCUACGAUCAGUAGGGGUUCUGAGAGGAAGGUCCCCCANAUUGGAACUGAGACACGGUCCAAACUCCGUACGGGAGGCA
This 351-nucleotide ribosomal RNA is filed under the name uncultured bacterium. RNAcentral describes it as "bacterial SSU rRNA". It matches the Rfam family "Bacterial small subunit ribosomal RNA", at positions 8 to 350 of the family's 1533-position model. The record is from RNAcentral.